Molecule: ribosomal RNA, 480 nt
Filed under: uncultured bacterium
Lineage: Bacteria
Description: bacterial SSU rRNA
Rfam family: Bacterial small subunit ribosomal RNA
Source: RNAcentral
AUUGAACGCUGGCGGAAUGCUUUACACAUGCAAGUCGAGCGGCAGCGCGGGGCAACCUGGCGGCGAGCGGCGAACGGGUGAGUAAUACAUCGGAACGUGCCCAGACGUGGGGGAUAAUACUCGAAAGAGUGGCUAAUACCGCAUACGAUCUACGGAUGAAAGCGGGGGAUCGCAAGACCUCGCGCGUCUGGAGCGGCUGAUGGCAGAUUAGGUAGUUGGUGGGAUAAAAGCCUACCAAGCCAACGAUCUGUAGCUGGUCUGAGAGGAUGAUCAGCCACACUGGGACUGAGACACGGCCCAGACUCCUACGGGAGGCAGCAGUGGGGAAUUUUGGACAAUGGGCGAAAGCCUGAUCCAGCCAUUCCGCGUGCAGGAUGAAGGCCCUCGGGUUGUAAACUGCUUUUGUACAGAACGAAAAAGACUCUGGCUAAUACCUGGAGUCCAUGACGGUACUGUAAGAAUAAGCACCGGCUAACUACG